RNAcentral lists this ribosomal RNA (478 nucleotides) under uncultured bacterium. RNAcentral's name for it is "partial 16S ribosomal RNA". It matches the Rfam family "Bacterial small subunit ribosomal RNA", at positions 28 to 507 of the family's 1533-position model. The record is from RNAcentral.
GAUGAACGCUGGCGGCGUGCUUAACACAUGCAAGUCGAACGAGAAGUCGAGACGGAUGCCUUCUGGCGGAAGACUUUACUUGGAGUGGCGACCGGGUGAGUAACGCCUUGGUAACCUGCCUCCUACAGGGGGAUAAGAGUUGGACACGACUGUUAAUACUGCAUCAGACUACAGCAUCGCAUGGUGCGGCGGUAAAAACUCCGGUGGCAUGAGAUGGACCCGCUUUCGAUUAGCCGGUUGGCGGGGGAACGGCCAACCAAAGCGACGAUCGAUAGCCGGGCAGAGAGAAUGGCCGGACACGUAGGGACUGAGACACAGCACGAACUCCUACGGGAGGCAGGAGUGGGGGAUAGUGAAGAGUGGAGGGAAGCCGGAUGAAGCGACGGCGCGUGAGUGAGGAAGUAUUGCGGUAAGUAAAGCUCUAUCAGCAGGGAAGGAAAUGACCGUACCUGAGUAAGAAGCCACGGCUUACUACGUG